CCAUCUGGGUAACUGGGUGGGGAAAGUGGCGAAAGGGGCAGUAAGGCGUGGGUAACCUACCUCGGGGAUGGGGAUAGCCUUCCUAACGGAAGGGUAAUACCCGGCGAGCUGGUCGAAGGGCAUCCCUUGACCAGGAAAUGAAUUUCGCCUUGAGAGGGGCUCACGUGGUAUUAGCUAGUUGGUAGGGUAACGGCCUACCAAGGCCAAGAUGCCUAGCAGGUGUGAGAGCACGACCUGCGCCACUGGCACUGCGACACUGGCCAGACUCCUACGGGAGGCUGCAGUCGAGGAUCUUCGGCAAUGGGCGCAAGCCUGACCGAGCGACGCCGCGUGUGCGAUGAAGGCCUUCGGG
Molecule: ribosomal RNA, 352 nt
Filed under: uncultured bacterium
Lineage: Bacteria
Description: bacterial SSU rRNA
Rfam family: Bacterial small subunit ribosomal RNA
Source: RNAcentral